GACGAACGCUGGCGGCGUGCUUAACACAUGCAAGUCGAACGGAAAGGCUCCAGCUUGCUGGAGUUCUCGAGUGGCGAACGGGUGAGUAACACGUGGGUAAUCUGCCCUGCACUCUGGGAUAAGCCUGGGAAACUGGGUCUAAUACUGGAUAUGAUCUUUCUCCCUAUGGGGUUCGGUGGAAAGUUUUUCGGUGUAGGAUGAGCCCGCGGCUUAUCAGCUUGUUGGUGGGGUGAUGGCCUACCAAGGCGACGCCGGGUAGCCGGCCUGAGCAGGGGAUCGGGCACAUUGGGACUGAGGUACGGCCCAGACUCCUACAGGAGGCAGCGGUGGGGAAUAUUGCACAGUGGGCGGGAGCCUGAUGCAGCGACGCCGCGUGAGGGAUGACGGCCUUCGGGUUGUAAACCUCUUUCAGCAGAGACGAAGCGUAAGUGACGGUACCUGCAGAAGAAGCACCGGCUAACUAUGUG
RNAcentral lists this ribosomal RNA (467 nucleotides) under uncultured bacterium. RNAcentral's name for it is "partial 16S ribosomal RNA". It matches the Rfam family "Bacterial small subunit ribosomal RNA", at positions 28 to 507 of the family's 1533-position model. The record is from RNAcentral.